GUAUAAACAGAGAAAUGGCUGUCUAGUACAAGUAUGAUUUUUUAUUCAAUUUUGCUGGCACAAUAGCAGCUGUAUAGAUAAAGUUAUGAACAGAUAAAUAGCAGUGUAGUACAAGCAUGAUUUUUCUAUUAAAUGAUACUGGUACAAUUGCAGCUGUAUAGAUAAAUUUUGUUGUACUUUAUACCUAAUAAAGAUAAAAGGGAGCUAUUGCUGGUGUGAUUGAUUGCACACUGAGCCAUUUUGACUAGAAAUGA
Molecule: long non-coding RNA, 254 nt
Organism: Amphimedon queenslandica
Lineage: Eukaryota; Metazoa; Porifera; Demospongiae; Haplosclerida; Niphatidae
Exons: 3
Source: RefSeq, a predicted model, not a curated record